Molecule: ribosomal RNA, 1563 nt
Filed under: Salmonella enterica
Lineage: Bacteria; Pseudomonadati; Pseudomonadota; Gammaproteobacteria; Enterobacterales; Enterobacteriaceae
Description: partial 23S ribosomal RNA
Rfam family: Bacterial large subunit ribosomal RNA
Source: RNAcentral
GUGGCCUGUGAGGGUUGCUGGAGGUAUCAGAAGUGCGAAUGCUGACAUAAGUAACGAUAAAGCGGGUGAAAAGCCCGCUCGCCGGAAGACCAAGGGUUCCUGUCCAACGUUAAUCGGGGCAGGGUGAGUCGACCCCUAAGGCGAGGCCGAAAGGCGUAGUCGAUGGGAAACGGGUUAAUAUUCCCGUACUUGGUGUUACUGCGAAGGGGGGACGGAGAAGGCUAUGUUGGCCGGGCGACGGUUGUCCCGGUUUAAGCGUGUAGGUGUGUGUUCCAGGUAAAUCCGGUUCACUUUAACACUGAGGCGUGACGACGAGGCACUACGGUGCUGAAGCAACAAAUGCCCUGCUUCCAGGAAAAGCCUCUAAGCAUCAGGUAACAUCAAAUCGUACCCCAAACCGACACAGGUGGUCAGGUAGAGAAUACCAAGGCGCUUGAGAGAACUCGGGUGAAGGAACUAGGCAAAAUGGUGCCGUAACUUCGGGAGAAGGCACGCUGACACGUAGGUGAAGUGAUUUACUCAUGGAGCUGAAGUCAGUCGAAGAUACCAGCUGGCUGCAACUGUUUAUUAAAAACACAGCACUGUGCAAACACGAAAGUGGACGUAUACGGUGUGACGCCUGCCCGGUGCCGGAAGGUUAAUUGAUGGGGUCAGCGCAAGCGAAGCUCCUGAUCGAAGCCCCGGUAAACGGCGGCCGUAACUAUAACGGUCCUAAGGUAGCGAAAUUCCUUGUCGGGUAAGUUCCGACCUGCACGAAUGGCGUAAUGAUGGCCAGGCUGUCUCCACCCGAGACUCAGUGAAAUUGAACUCGCUGUGAAGAUGCAGUGUACCCGCGGCAAGACGGAAAGACCCCGUGAACCUUUACUAUAGCUUGACACUGAACAUUGAGCCUUGAUGUGUAGGAUAGGUGGGAGGCUUUGAAGCGUGGACGCCAGUCUGCGUGGAGCCGACCUUGAAAUACCACCCUUUAAUGUUUGAUGUUCUAACGUGGACCCGUUACCCGGGUUGCGGACAGUGUCUGGUGGGUAGUUUGACUGGGGCGGUCUCCUCCUAAAGAGUAACGGAGGAGCACGAAGGUUGGCUAAUCCUGGUCGGACAUCAGGAGGUUAGUGCAAUGGCAUAAGCCAGCUUGACUGCGAGCGUGACGGCGCGAGCAGGUGCGAAAGCAGGUCAUAGUGAUCCGGUGGUUCUGAAUGGAAGGGCCAUCGCUCAACGGAUAAAAGGUACUCCGGGGAUAACAGGCUGAUACCGCCCAAGAGUUCAUAUCGACGGCGGUGUUUGGCACCUCGAUGUCGGCUCAUCACAUCCUGGGGCUGAAGUAGGUCCCAAGGGUAUGGCUGUUCGCCAUUUAAAGUGGUACGCGAGCUGGGUUUAGAACGUCGUGAGACAGUUCGGUCCCUAUCUGCCGUGGGCGCUGGAGAACUGAGGGGGGCUGCUCCUAGUACGAGAGGACCGGAGUGGACGCAUCACUGGUGUUCGGGUUGUCAUGCCAAUGGCACUGCCCGGUAGCUAAAUGCGGAAGAGAUAAGUGCUGAAAGCAUCUAAGCACGAAACUUGCCCCGA